Long non-coding RNA from Orbicella faveolata, 947 nucleotides. RefSeq lists it as uncharacterized. Lineage: Eukaryota; Metazoa; Cnidaria; Anthozoa; Scleractinia; Merulinidae. The record is from RefSeq and is a predicted model, not a curated record.
AAAGUGGCCCAUCGUCAUCUCUUCUAAACUCUUUGUUGUACUCAUUCAUAGGCAUUCUACUCAAGCAUUCCCUGGCCAAGGAAGAACAAGAGAAGUGCCUGCCAACAAGGACAAUGUUCGCAAUUUGCAUAAGACAGAGCAUCUCAAGAGCACGUAAUAUUUUGUGCUCUAAAUCAUUACAUCGGACAAGAACUGCUUCAGUUUCAAGUCACAUAAAGCAAGAACCUACGUCGACAAGGAUAGGAGCCACAAAAUUACUCCUUGUUUUGGCUCCAAGUAUCUACAUUGGUGGAUUGUUGGGAAAAAAUUUAGCCGAAUUCUUAGACGAGUGGAGUAUUUUCUAUCCCGAAUGUGACGACGAUGAAGAUGACUGAUCGAAAACACGCUGAGAAAAUCACAGGCAAGAGGACAUGCUUGUGAUGUCAAGUUUUACUAUUUUUAAUUAAUAAAAUUGUAGCUUAACGUUUUUACGUACUGAAUGAAAUUAAUUUCAAGUAGAAAAAUACUUUUUUUGAGAAAGAAUAGUUUACUAUGAUUAAUUUUUGAAGGUAUCAGAUCAUUUUAAAAACCUGGUUUAAAUGUAAGUUUUUUCCUUCUUAUUUCCAGGUAGCUUAUCUGUUGUAACUGAUAAAUGCAAAUGUUUUAUAUAUGUUGAAUUGUUAGUUUUACUUUUGAAAGUAUUGUUAAAAAUGGCAAAAUUAAUUUGUUUUCUGUAUUAUAACAAGGAAGAAUCUUGCCAUUAUUGUGUUCUGCUUCUGGAAUGUUUUCGUGUCUAUUACUUUUUAUACAUACUCAUCAGAAAGGACCUGGUUAAAGAGAAGUUGGUUUUAAAAACUCUGGAUUUUUAGCAGAUAUUAGGACGUGAAGUGAGCUACUAGGUUUAGUGAGAAGAUGUUAAGAUGGUUUCCAGGCUAAUUAAAUAUGGCCAUUUGUUUAGGUGGUUUUAA